GACGAACGCUGGCGGCGUGCUUAACACAUGCAAGUCGAACGAUGAACCCGGAGCUUGCUCUGGGGGAUUAGUGGCGAACGGGUGAGUAACACGUGAGUAACCUGCCCUGGACUCUGGGGUAAGCGUUGGAAACGACGUCUAAUACCGGAUAGGACCUUGGAUCGCAUGAUCUGGGGUGGAAAGUUUUUUCGGUCUGGGAUGGACUCGCGGCCUAUCAGCUUGUUGGUGAGGUAAUGGCUCACCAAGGCGUCGACGGGUAGCCGGCCUGAGAGGGUGACCGGCCACACUGGGACUGAGACACGGCCCAGACUCCUACGGGAGGCAGCAGUGGGGAAUAUUGCACAAUGGGCGAAAGCCUGAUGCAGCAACGCCGCGUGCGGGAUGACGGCCUUCGGGUUGUAAACCGCUUUUAGUAGGGAAGAAGGGCUUCGGCUUGACGGUACCUGCAGAAAAAGGACCGGCUAACUACGUG
RNAcentral lists this ribosomal RNA (472 nucleotides) under uncultured bacterium. RNAcentral describes it as "partial 16S ribosomal RNA". It matches the Rfam family "Bacterial small subunit ribosomal RNA", at positions 28 to 507 of the family's 1533-position model. The record is from RNAcentral.